CAACGCCUGCCUAAGAUCCUGUUUCAAAGACAAUAGUAGCCAGCUGGGCUUGGUGCCUCCUGCCUCUAACUUCUGUGUUUAAUGUCACCUCCCAUAAACCAGCACUUGGGAGGUUAAGGCAGGAGGACCAUGAGUUUAAGGCUAGCCUAGACUACAUAGAGAGAUCUUGUCUCUAAAUAAAUAAUAAAUAGUUGUCUUCCUCCCAUUAGAUUUCCCCAGCCGUUUGAUGAGUCAGUCAUUGUCUGCCACUGGAAGCACCAUGUGCAUGUGUGUAAUAUCUAUGUCUCCCCAGUCUUGGAUCCCAGCUUCUCACUGAAGUGCUGUUGGGUUUGAACACUCUGCUGUCCUCUGGGGGGAAGGACUGGCUACCAAUGACUCACAGGAACGCUUUGCCAGAUAGCGUUAUUACCACAACGACAGCGAAGACAGUGGUGGAGUGCUAGUUGUGGUUGUGCAGUAAUAGGAGCAGCCCCAGCCAAAGGAGCAGCCCUAGGGGAAGAGCCGAAGCAAGAGUAGCAACCACACAGCGCACCUCAGGGAGGCCCAGUAUUGGGCUUCACACCACCCUCAUCACAGAGUACAUUUAAUUCUCACCAUGACCCUGAAGCAGCCAACGUUUUUCUUUUAAGUGUCCACAUUUUACAGAUGAGGACAUUGAAGCGUAAUGAGGGAACAAUAAGAAAGCCAGGACUACACAGGUGGGACUUUGCAACACUUGGGAUUCGCCUAGACUUCCAGGUUCAUGGUCUCCUGGACUUACCAUCCCACCCCACCCCCGCCCCGGGAGUGCAGUGCUUUGCACCUUUUGGAAGGCAGUGGGAAUGCUGCUUCAGCAGUCGGUGUGUAACUGAAGGGAAUUCUGAGGCCGCUUGGAUAUUCAAAUGAUGUCUCAGCCAUAUACAAAUCUGCUCCUCUUCCAUCUGCAUCCCCCCAGAAAUUCAAUAAAACCACGGAAGAAUGAGCCCGUCUACUGCACCCCCAGCCCCACCAGUGCUAUCUGAAGCCUUUUGCGCUGAAGAAAUGAGAUUCAGAUGGAAAAGUGCUGGCACAAGGUUGAGCAGGGUUCUCUAAUAAAGACACUGCGCAUCACACAUCAGCUGCUGCUGUUGCUAUGGUGACAGCCACAAUUUCUCCCAGACAGCCUGGGUCUGCAGGGAGGGUGGACCCUGGGGGGAACAAGUGUGUUCCUCCAACCUGUCAGACCCUGUCACCUUUCCUGUUUCUUUCACCUCUCCCACUCCCGCCAGCCCCC
This 1252-nucleotide long non-coding RNA is filed under the name Cricetulus griseus (Chinese hamster). RNAcentral's name for it is "lncRNA (ENSCGRG00000025958.1)". Lineage: Eukaryota; Metazoa; Chordata; Mammalia; Rodentia; Cricetidae. The record is from RNAcentral.